RNAcentral lists this ribosomal RNA (404 nucleotides) under uncultured Pelotomaculum sp. Its description in RNAcentral is "bacterial SSU rRNA". It matches the Rfam family "Bacterial small subunit ribosomal RNA", at positions 981 to 1382 of the family's 1533-position model. The record is from RNAcentral. Lineage: Bacteria; Bacillati; Bacillota; Clostridia; Eubacteriales; Desulfotomaculaceae.
UUGACAUCCCUGACCGUCGUAUGAAAGUACGUUUUCACCCUCGGGUGACAGGGAGACAGGUGGUGCAUGGUUGUCGUCAGCUCGUGUCGUGAGAUGUUGGGUUAAGUCCCGCAACGAGCGCAACCCCUACGUUUAGUUGCUAACGCGUGAAGGCGAGCACUCUAGACGAACUGCCGUUGACAAAACGGAGGAAGGUGGGGAUGACGUCAAAUCAUCAUGCCCCUUAUGUUCUGGGCUACACACGUGCUACAAUGGCCGGUACAGACGGACGCAAAGCCGCGAGGUGGAGCAAAUCCUAAAAAGCCGGUCUCAGUUCGGAUUGCAGGCUGCAAUUCGCCUGCAUGAAGUCGGAAUCGCUAGUAAUCGCAGGUCAGCAUACUGCGGUGAAUACGUUCCCGGGCCUU